UUCAGACUCCAAAUUUGGAGAGGUUUGAUUUUUUACUGUUUUCUUUUCCAAGUUUUUAUGGUGGUCUGGUUGUUGGAGGCAAUUUGUUUAAGUUGAUAUGUUUCUCUUGUUUCUUGUGCAUCUUUUGUUGCAUUGGAUUUUUUUGGCAAAUUUAAGCCAUCCAGUCCACUGAUUCUCUAAUGGACGUGUCAUCUUGACUUCCUCAGGGAAGUACAUUAUAUGCAAAUUUUGCCUCGUACAAAAUGUUGUGGUUGUUAUUAUUCAUGUGAUAGGAAGAGGUUUAGUCUUUUUCUUGGUCUUAGUUUUGAGGCAAUUUAAGUGUGAAAUUAAUUGAAGGCUUUUCCAAUAGUGGGAGUUUUUUUAUUUUUAUAUUUUUAAUUUAUUAUCCUUGAUGUGAUGUCCUGUUUUGCAGAAAGUAUGGGUCUAUAAUGUUUUGAGAGGAAAAGGAAAAAGGCAAUAGGACGCCAUAAUCAAUCCAUGCCAAUGCCAUGAAAUGGAAAUGCUUAUGUAUCAGUUUUCAAGUAUAACAUGCUAGUCACCAACUAGCCAUAUUUCCUCUCUGCUGGACUUGAUGUGAAAAUUCAUGCAACUGUUAUAAAAUGUGUCGGGGGCUGCAUGUUUAAUAUUGCAAGCUUUUUUCUGUAUAGUACUAAAUUCUGUAAUUAAGAAAUUUUCUUCUAUUCUU
RNAcentral lists this unclassified non-coding RNA (685 nucleotides) under Hevea brasiliensis (rubber tree). Lineage: Eukaryota; Viridiplantae; Streptophyta; Magnoliopsida; Malpighiales; Euphorbiaceae. The record is from RNAcentral.